Molecule: ribosomal RNA, 492 nt
Filed under: uncultured bacterium
Lineage: Bacteria
Description: partial 16S ribosomal RNA
Rfam family: Bacterial small subunit ribosomal RNA
Source: RNAcentral
AGUGAACGCUGGCGGUAGGCCUAACACAUGCAAGUCGAACGGCAGCACAGUAAGAGCUUGCUCUUACGGGUGGCGAGUGGCGGGCGGGUGAGGCAUACAUCGGAAUCUACUUUUUCGUGGGGGAUAACGUAGGGAAACUUACGCUAAUACCGCAUACGACCUACGGGUGAAAGCAGGGGAUCUUCGGACCUUGCGCGAUUGAUUGAGCCGAUGUCGGAUUAGCUAGUUGGCGGGGUAAAGGCCCACCAAGGCGACGAUCCGUAGCUGGUCUGAGAGGAUGAUCAGCCACACUGGAACUGGAACACGGUCCAGACUCCUACGGGGGGCAGCAGGGGGGAAUAUUGGACAAUGGGCGCAAGCCUGAGCCAGCCAUACCGCGGGGGGGAAGAAGGCCUUCGGUUGGUAAAGCCCUUUUGUUGGGAAAGAAAAGCGGCAGGUUAAUACCCCGCUGUUCUGACGGUACCCAAAGAAUAAGCACCGGCUAACUUCGUG